GCGACGGAGAAGGAUAGAUGAGCCCAGGUGAUGGUUAUCCUGGGGUAAAUGUGUAGGAAGACUGAUAGGUAAAUCCGUUAGUCACAUAUUCUGAGACAUGAUGCCGAGCCGCUUUUAGGCGAAGUCAUUGAUUCCAUACUUCCAAGAAAAACUUCUAGUUAGUUUUUUUAGUGCCCGUACCCCAAACCGACACAGGUGGACAAGUAGAGAAUACUAAGGCGAGCGAGAUAACUCUGGUUAAGGAACUCGGCAAAAUAGUUCCGUAACUUCGGGAGAAGGAACGCCCAAGUAAAGUGAUUAAUUAACUUUAUGAGCUUGAACGGGCCGCAGUGAUCAGACUCAAGCGACUGUUUAUCAAAAACACAGGAGGGUGCAAAGUUCUAAUACAACGUAUACCCUCUGACACCUGCCCGGUGCUGGAAGGUUAAGUGGAGAGGUUAGCUUCGGCGAAGCUUUGAAAUUAAGCCCCAGUAAACGGCGGCCGUAACUAUAACGGUCCUAAGGUAGCGAAAUUCCUUGUCGGGUAAGUUCCGACCUGCACGAAUGGUGUAACGAUUUGAGUACUGUCUCAACCAGAGACUCGGCGAAAUUGCAAUGUGAGUAAAGAUGCUCACUAUGCGCGACAGGACGGAAAGACCCCGGAACCUUUACUGCAACUUGAUAUUGAAGUUUGGUGUGCAGUAUGCAGGAUAAGUGGGAGACUAUGAAAUAACGGCGCUAGUCGUUAUUGAGUCAUCCUUGAGAUACCACUUUCUUCAUAUUGAGCUUCUAACCUAGAUCCGUUAUCCGGAUCAGGGACAUUGUCUGGUGGGCAGUUUCACUGGGGCGGUGGCCUCCUAAAAAGUAACGGAGGCGCUCUAAGGUCACCUCAGCGUGGACGGCAAUCACGCAUCGAGUGUAAGUGCAAAAGGUGGCUUGACUGUGACACAAACAAGUGGAGCAGGUACGAAAGUAGGAACUAGUGAUCCCAUGGUUGCAUGUGGGUGCGCCAUGGCUCAUCGGCUAAAAGGUACUCCGGGGAUAACAGGCUUAUACCCCCCAAGAGUCCAUAUCGACGGGGGUGUUUGGCACCUCGAUGUCGGCUCUUCUCAUCCUGGGGCUGGAGCAGGUCCCAAGGGUUAGGCUGUUCGCCUAUUAAAGAGGAACGCGAGCUGGGUUCAGAACGUCGUGAGACAGUUCGGUCCCUAUCCGUCGCGCACGCAAGAGUUUUGAAGAAAGUUGUCCCUAGUACGAGAGGACCGGGAUGAACGAACCGCUGGUGUGCCAGUUGUCCUGCCAAGGGCACGGCUGGUUAGCUACGUUCGGAAAGGAUAAGCGCUGAAAGCAUCUAAGUGCGAAGCCCCUUCUAAGAUAAGAACUCUCACCGGAUUAACCGGGUAAGACUCCUUAUAGAACAUGAGGUUGAUAGGUCAGAAGUGUAAGUACAGUAAUGUAUUCAGCUGACUGAUACUAAUAAGUCGAGGGCUUGAACUG
Molecule: ribosomal RNA, 1473 nt
Filed under: Acidimicrobiaceae bacterium
Lineage: Bacteria; Bacillati; Actinomycetota; Acidimicrobiia; Acidimicrobiales; Acidimicrobiaceae
Description: partial 23S ribosomal RNA
Rfam family: Bacterial large subunit ribosomal RNA
Source: RNAcentral